RNAcentral lists this unclassified non-coding RNA (444 nucleotides) under Gyrodactylus anguillae. RNAcentral's name for it is "ITS2". Lineage: Eukaryota; Metazoa; Platyhelminthes; Monogenea; Gyrodactylidea; Gyrodactylidae. The record is from RNAcentral.
CUUUACCUAUCGUAACGCUUAAUUAGUUGCGGAUUGGGAAGUAUACCAUGACUACGAGAUUUCUUGUUGCUGAAAGUUGGGAUUCUGGGUAUUUUCGCCUGUGGUGGUUUGCCUAGUUGAGCUCUGAACGGGAAAUGUGAUCUUUUCUUGUACUGAGUUCGCCCUGAUUAUUAAGCAGGUUGCAGAGUAUUUAUAUUCUGCGGCUAAAGACCUUUUAUACAUACACGCUGUUGGCGGUUUGUGUGAAUGUGAUGUAGUUCUAGUGGUUCUUCCUUAAUUGUAUGGGUAGUAUUGUUGCAUACUUUAUGGUCUGCUCUGCACAGGGUGCGUGGCUUAGUUCGCUUCGUAACGCUGUACUGAUGUAGUUUAGACUUGUUUGUAGCAUACCCUUAUAAAAUUGGCCCUGACCUCGAUUCGAGCGUGAAUACCCGCUGAAUUUAAGCA